UAAGGGAAAAGAUAUCGUACCCGAGGACCAAAAAUAAGAGUACUCCAAACUCCCGCUAUUGUGAGUAACAGACUUUCAUCUUAACUAUUUAAAGUUGUUUCUACUCGUUUUUAUGUUUUAAAGAAUAAUGAGUUUAAAUGGUAAAUUAUUAUGUUUUAAAAUUGAAUUGUUGGUUAAAUGAAAUAAGUUUUAUAACUUGUUUUGAAAUUGAAUACUAGUUUUGGAAAUUGAGUAAGUGGAGACUAUAUACUCGUGUUUUGAUAUAUGGUUUGAAUUGGUGGCUUAUGACAAUGUGAUGGCAUGAAUGGCUAGAUUUCUGUUUUGUAUGGAAUAUAUAAACUGUUUUGUUUUGCCGUGACACAGGCUGGGUAAUAUCAUAUUAGCCAUGUCAUAUUGUCGAAAUUUUUAUUGAUUUGGUGGGAUAAUUGAUUAGUUUACUGCAGUGGGUGAGUUUUUGUGGACCAACCUAUUAGAGGCGCACGGUAAACCCCGUUAUAUUUUACCUUAGUAUGAGAGGCGCGGAAGAUAUCUCCUAAGGUAUAUUUAGAGUUUACUUCACACCGAACCACCACGUGAGGGUGAAACUCAGCCAACGCCAAGGAAUGGCUACGUUUUUAAAUGUAAAAACAUGUUUUAUGUGUAUAUAUCAUUUUAACAGCCUUGGCGAACUCGGUUGGAUGCCCAGGCCAAGGUGUCACCGAGUACGAGUUUUGGCACGAGCCAAGUUUUAAGAGAGUCAUAAGCCUUACUGAUUCUUUUUGAUGAAAUGUAAUUGUUUUAUAUAAAUUGAAAUGAGUUUUGAAUGUUAUGAAUUAUAUUAUGAUGGGAUAAUUUAACUGUCUCCAUUUACUCGGCUUUAGAUGUUAUAGAUGAAUUUUGCUUACUCAUUGGGUUUAUAAAAACUCACCCCUUCUUCUCACCCAUUUCAGGCUCAAGACAGUCUGUAGACAACCGAUUUUGUCGAGGAUUGCUUUUGGAUCUGCAUCCUUAGAAAUCGAAGGUCUACAGGCUUGCAUAUUUUCGGUUAUAUCGAGGCCCACAUGUCAUUGUAGAAUAUUUUGUAUACUUGGCUGUGUGUGCC
Molecule: long non-coding RNA, 1081 nt
Filed under: Theobroma cacao (cacao)
Lineage: Eukaryota; Viridiplantae; Streptophyta; Magnoliopsida; Malvales; Malvaceae
Description: long non-coding RNA (TCAC_LNC001166)
Source: RNAcentral